GAUGAACGCUAGCUACAGGCUUAACACAUGCAAGUCGAGGGGUAGCAGGGUAGCAAUACCGCUGACGACCGGCGCACGGGUGAGUAACACGUAUCCAACCUUCCCAUAACUCGGGGAUAGCCUUUCGAAAGAAAGAUUAAUACCCGAUAGUACUUUUUCAAGGCAUCUUGAGAAAGUUAAAGAUUUAUUGGUUAUGGAUGGGGAUGCGUUCCAUUAGAUAGUUGGUGAGGUAACGGCUCACCAAGUCUUCGAUGGAUAGGGGUUCUGAGAGGAAGGUCCCCCACAUUGGUACUGAGACACGGACCAAACUCCUACGGGAGGCAGCAGUGAGGAAUAUUGGUCAAUGAGCGAGAGCCUGAACCAGCCAAGUAGCGUGAAGGAUGGAGGUCCUAUGGAUUGUAAACUUCUUAUAUAGUAGAAUAAAGUGACCUACGUGUAGGUUUUUGUAUGUAUACUAUGAAUAAGGAUCGGCUAACUCCGUGCCAGCCGCCGCGGUAA
This 498-nucleotide ribosomal RNA is filed under the name uncultured bacterium. RNAcentral describes it as "partial 16S ribosomal RNA". It matches the Rfam family "Bacterial small subunit ribosomal RNA", at positions 28 to 523 of the family's 1533-position model. The record is from RNAcentral.